This is a long non-coding RNA of Stegostoma tigrinum, 2089 nucleotides long. RefSeq lists it as uncharacterized. Lineage: Eukaryota; Metazoa; Chordata; Chondrichthyes; Orectolobiformes; Stegostomatidae. The transcript is spliced from 3 exons. The record is from RefSeq and is a predicted model, not a curated record.
UGUUCUUACACUUCCUACAAGCUGAUGGGUGCACAGUAGCUCACUACAGCCUGAUUUUUAUUCCACUAAGGAUCACAGCCACAUCUUGAACUUGAAACAGGAUAUGGCUAACCCUCUGGCAUUUAACCUUUAUGUCAAGGCUUCUUCAAAGCUGCACUGGAUGCCACUUCACAGUUUAUAACUCUCCAAGGCAUUAAGGUUGUUCUCUGUGCUACUAAGAACAAUUACAUCUCUUUCUAGAUGGCCAGAGAGAAGCAAGGAUCCUUACUGCCAAGACUCUUCAAAAUGCUGUCACUGAAGAUAUGAAGCAAACAAUCAUUUGGAUAAGAAAACGUUUAUUUCGAAGUGUUAGUAUUCAAGCACUACCAGAAUAAUCAGGUCCACAAAUAUAUUAGACAGAGUCUGUUUGCCAUACAUCUAAUCAAAAGUUAGACAGAAAAUUGUUGCUGAUUCAGCCUUUCCUUUAAAAUUCAGAGCAUAGGCCCAUGUCAACUUGAGUUAUGAAGGACACACCACAAUGAUGUGGCAUACCCGUUCAGUACUGAUGGCCUAAGGCAUUCUUAAUCUGAUGAAGGAUCAGUUCUGAGGAAGGGUCACUGGACCUGCCAGGCCUGCUGAUCUUUUCCAGUAACCUCUGUUCUUGUAUCAGUGAUCUGCACCUGAUUUCUGAGAGCUAUAGAAAAUGACAGCAAACUCUCUUCAUUACGGUCUCUUUGCCAUCUGCUUCUCCAUCUGAAUGUUAAGCAGAAGCCAUUUCAAGUAACAGUUCUUGCUGGUACUGCUGCUGACAUCAAAAUUUCCCCGUUCUUGGAGAUUGUCUUCACUUCUGAACCAAGAUCAUUAGAAAAGCAGAAACCAGGAGGUUGAUCUUAGAUGUGUGAGUAGAUGCUAUGUGGAGAAUGUCAGAAUUAGAAAAGCAUUUUAGAAAUGGUACUUCUGAACUCUCUCAUCAAUCACAGGAAGCACUGCAUCAUUGAAACAUAGAAGAUCAGAGCAGAAGUAGAGCAUUCCAUCCCUCAAGCCUGCUCUACCAUUAAUUAUGAAUAUGGCUGAUUAGCAAACUCAAUACACUAAGCCAAGCCUCCUCCCCCACCCCAUACCUCAAUCCCUUUAGCCACAAGAGCUAUAUCUACCUCCUCCUUGAAAACACGAUGUUUUGUCCUCAACCACAUUGUAAUCGUGAAUUCCGUAGGUUUGCCACUCUCUAGGUGAAGAAACUUCUCCUCAUUUCAGUCCUGAAAACACAUUAUCUUAAGCUUUGACAACUGUUUCUGGACAUACCCAUCACUGGGACAUCCUUCCUGUAACUAACCUGUCUAGCCUUGUAAGAAUUUUACAGGUUUCAAAGAGAUCCCCUAUCAUCCUCCUAAAUUUCAGUGAAAGAAAUCCUGACGUAAUUUCUCCUCACAUGUUAGUCCUAUCAUCCAAGGAAACAGUCUGGUAAACCUUAAUUCCAGUUUCCCCAUAACAAGAACAUCCCUUAUUAGAUAAGGAGAGCAAAACUGUACAAAAAAUUCCAAGUGUGGCCUCACCAAAGAACAGUAUAAUUGCAGCAAGACAACCUCGUACCUGCACUUGUAUAUUUUUGCUAUGAAGGUCAAAAUAAGUUUGCCUUCUUUACUGCCUGCAGUGCCUUUGCACUUAUUUUCAGCAAACUAGCAUACAAUGAUACCCAAAACUUGUUGAACAUUUUCCUUUCUCAGUUUACAACCAUUCAAAUAAUAACCUGCUUUCCUAUUUUGCUUACAAAAUGGAUAACCUCAAAUUUAUCCACUUCAUAUUGUAUCUUCCAUGCAUUUGCCCACUCACUCAGCUUGUCCAAAUUACACUGCAACACUUCUCACAGCUCACUUUUCCACCCAACUUUGUGUCAUCUGCCAAACUUGAGAUAUUGCAUUUAAUUCCCUCAUCUAAAUUAUUAGCAGAUAUUGUGAAUAGCUGAGGUCCGUGUCCCACAGUAAUCCACUAGCCACUACCUACCAUUCAUUAAAAAGAAUCUGUUUAUUAUUACUCUUUGAUUCAUCUCUGCCAACCAAUUUUUAUCCAUUCCAAUACAUGACCUUGUUUUCUAGGUUAUACCCAUGUUAUG